RNAcentral lists this non-coding RNA (30 nucleotides) under Mus musculus (house mouse). The record is from RNAcentral. Lineage: Eukaryota; Metazoa; Chordata; Mammalia; Rodentia; Muridae.
UGACCCCCACAUCAGCCCUGUGCGGCAAGU